Molecule: ribosomal RNA, 493 nt
Filed under: uncultured bacterium
Lineage: Bacteria
Description: bacterial SSU rRNA
Rfam family: Bacterial small subunit ribosomal RNA
Source: RNAcentral
AGUGAACGCUGGCGGCAUGCCUAACACAUGCAAGUCGAACGGCAGCACAGCAGUAGCAAUACUGUGGGUGGCGAGUGGCGGACGGGUGAGGAACACAUCGGAAUUUGCCCAGUCGUGGGGGAUAACGUAGGGAAACUUACGCUAAUACCGCAUACGACCUAACGGUGAAAGCGGGGGAUCGCAAGACCUCGCGCGGAUGGAUAAGCCGAUGUCGGAUUAGCUAGUUGGCGGGGUAAAGGCCCACCAAGGCGACGAUCCGUAGCUGGUCUGAGAGGAUGAUCAGCCACACUGGGACUGAGACACGGCCCAGACUCCUACGGGAGGCAGCAGUGGGGAAUAUUGGACAAUGGGGGCAACCCUGAUCCAGCAAUGCCGCGUGUGUGAAGAAGGCCUUCGGGUUGUAAAGCACUUUAUCGGGAACGAACAUUGUCGGUGAAUAUCCGGCAAGACUGACGGUACCCGAGGAAUAAGCACCGGCUAACUUCGUGCCAGC